This 425-nucleotide ribosomal RNA is filed under the name uncultured bacterium. Its description in RNAcentral is "bacterial SSU rRNA". It matches the Rfam family "Bacterial small subunit ribosomal RNA", at positions 356 to 773 of the family's 1533-position model. The record is from RNAcentral.
GGGGAAUAUUGCACAAUGGGCGCAAGCCUGAUGCAGCCAUGCCGCGUGUAUGAGGAAGGCCUUCGGGUUGUAAAGUACUUUCAGCGGGGAGGAAGGCGAUGGGGUUAAUAACCUUAUCGAUUGACGUUACCCGCAGAAGAAGCACCGGCUAACUCCGUGCCAGCAGCCGCGGUAAUACGGAGGGUGCAAGCGUUAAUCGGAAUUACUGGGCGUAAAGCGCACGCAGGCGGUCUGUUAAGUCAGAUGUGAAAUCCCCGGACUUAACCUGGGAACUGCAUUUGAAACUGGCAGGCUUGAGUCUUGUAGAGGGGGGUAGAAUUCCAGGUGUAGCGGUGAAAUGCGUAGAGAUCUGGAGGAAUACCGGUGGCGAAGGCGGCCCCCUGGACAAAGACUGACGCUCAGGUGCGAAAGCGUGGGGAGCAAAC